This 552-nucleotide small RNA is filed under the name Malus domestica (apple). Its description in RNAcentral is "sRNA MD03G0203600". The record is from RNAcentral. Lineage: Eukaryota; Viridiplantae; Streptophyta; Magnoliopsida; Rosales; Rosaceae.
UGGACCUCUUAUAUCUGCACUUACUGUGACACCAAGUAAUUUUAGCCCCCCUUGUUGGAUUUCUGAUUUUCUUUCUACUUGCACGCAUCUUAAAUUCCUGAGAACUUUCACUUGUCAGAUUUUAAGGUUGAUACUGGGGGCUAUCUGCCGGUGCUAUUGCCGGUAUUGUAGUAGCAGCAUUUAUGUCUGUCGCAUUGGUUUUGGUAGUCCUCCGAAUGGCUGGUUACUUAGGGGCUAAAAACGAAGAUGAAGUUUCUUGUGCCCCAAGGUAAUGGUCGAGUUCUUGUCAGCAGACGGCAGUGUCACUGCUAGCUCAAGCUAUCCGCGCGGGCCAAUUCACUUCACUGAAACAUUUCUCAAAACCACUCCUCUCAUUGCCGGUUUACAAUCAGGAACCCAAGUUCUGAACAUAAAAACGAUUGAACACAUUGAAGGGCUGCAGCCGACAGCGUACUUGAAAGUGGUACUAGAGCAAAGAGCAGAGUGUUCCAAAAUGGUGCGGGCAUACGUCAAAUUUACGCUGCAUCACUAGAGCUUGAAUCUGAACUUCCU